This 72-nucleotide transfer RNA is filed under the name Nanobdellota archaeon. RNAcentral's name for it is "tRNA-Asp". It matches the Rfam family "tRNA". Rfam says of the family: Transfer RNA (tRNA) molecules are approximately 80 nucleotides in length. Their secondary structure includes four short double-helical elements and three loops (D, anti-codon, and T loops). Lineage: Archaea; Nanobdellati; Nanobdellota. RNAcentral also lists the same sequence under 2 other names. The record is from RNAcentral.
GCCUCAGUUGUCCAAUGGCUAAGACACUUGCCUGUCGCGCAGGAGACCCGGGUUCAAUUCCCGGCUGAGGCG